Molecule: ribosomal RNA, 163 nt
Filed under: Euphrasia transmorrisonensis
Lineage: Eukaryota; Viridiplantae; Streptophyta; Magnoliopsida; Lamiales; Orobanchaceae
Description: 5.8S ribosomal RNA
Rfam family: 5.8S ribosomal RNA
About the family: 5.8S ribosomal RNA (5.8S rRNA) is a component of the large subunit of the eukaryotic ribosome. It is transcribed by RNA polymerase I as part of the 45S precursor that also contains 18S and 28S rRNA.
Source: RNAcentral
CGACUCUCGGCAACGGAUAUCUCGGCUCUCGCAUCGAUGAAGAACGUAGCGAAAUGCGAUACUUGGUGUGAAUUGCAGAAUCCCGUGAACCAUCGAGUCUUUGAACGCAAGUUGCGCCCGAAACCAUCCGGUUGGGGGCACGUCUGCCUGGGCGUCACGCAUC